AGGUUCCAUGGGAGGGUUAAGAGUUUCAAAGCAAAUAACAUCUUGGAAGCAGUCUUCCAAGCCCAACCUACUGAGCACUUGAGCUGCAUGUGCUUCAUCUGCAUUCGUGAAGAUCUGCAGCCAGAAAAUAACAGAGACGAAUUGGGCUCUUAUUUGGACGCGGCCCGCUCGGACCUUUGUAGAUCAAGUGGAAAAAAGGAUCCAACAGAAAAGGUAAAUCCAGGCCUAAGUAGAGUUCGGAUCAAAGUCCAGUUUGUUGAUAGCCUGAAUUAUAAAUCAAAUCAAACUUAAAGCUCGUGACUAAAUGUUUCCACGGCCUAUUGGGCCGCCUUAUAAAGCGAUCCAAUUAUUUAAGAUAGUCAUGUUGCUAUAAUAGCAUAAGACAUCUCAAGACUCAAGUUUUCACAACCUUUGUUAUUUUGUAAAUUCUAUCAAGAGAAGUUAAUUCAUUAA
This is a non-coding RNA of Sesamum indicum (sesame), 453 nucleotides long. The record is from RefSeq and is a predicted model, not a curated record. NCBI's taxonomy places the organism in Eukaryota, Viridiplantae, Streptophyta, Magnoliopsida, Lamiales, Pedaliaceae.